This 86-nucleotide transfer RNA is filed under the name Hypomontagnella monticulosa. RNAcentral describes it as "tRNA-Ser". The record is from RNAcentral. Lineage: Eukaryota; Fungi; Ascomycota; Sordariomycetes; Xylariales; Hypoxylaceae.
GACCACAUGACACAGUGGUUUAGUGCCUGGCUUCACUCUGCUUUAGGGCAAGCAAUUAUGCGUAGGUUCAAAUCCUAUUAUGGCCG